AGAGAGUCGAACAAGGUUCCGWASGUUGGCUGGGGAAGGAUCAUUUGG
Molecule: ribosomal RNA, 48 nt
Filed under: Goodenia elongata
Lineage: Eukaryota; Viridiplantae; Streptophyta; Magnoliopsida; Asterales; Goodeniaceae
Description: partial 18S small subunit ribosomal RNA
Source: RNAcentral